GAGUCCUGGCUCAGGAUGAACGCUAGCUACAGGCUUAACACAUGCAAGUCGAGGGGAAACGGCAUCGAAAGCUUGCUUUUGAUGGGCGUCGACCGGCGCACGGGUGAGUAACGCGUAUCCAACCUGCCCACCACUUGGGGGAUAACCUUGCGAAAGUAAGACUAAUACCCAAUGACAUCCCACGAAGACAUCUGAAUGGGAUUAAAGAUUUAUCGGUGAUGGAUGGGGAUGCGUCUGAUUAG
Molecule: ribosomal RNA, 242 nt
Filed under: uncultured bacterium
Lineage: Bacteria
Description: partial 16S ribosomal RNA
Rfam family: Bacterial small subunit ribosomal RNA
Source: RNAcentral